AAAUUGAAGAGUUUGAUCAUGGCUCAGAUUGAACGCUGGCGGCAGGCCUAACACAUGCAAGUCGAACGGUAACAGGAAGCAGCUUGCUGCUUUGCUGACGAGUGGCGGACGGGUGAGUAAUGUCUGGGAAACUGCCUGAUGGAGGGGGAUAACUACUGGAAACGGUGGCUAAUACCGCAUAACGUCGCAAGACCAAAGAGGGGGACCUUCGGGCCUCUUGCCAUCAGAUGUGCCCAGAUGGGAUUAGCUUGUUGGUGAGGUAACGGCUCACCAAGGCGACGAUCCCUAGCUGGUCUGAGAGGAUGACCAGCCACACUGGAACUGAGACACGGUCCAGACUCCUACGGGAGGCAGCAGUGGGGAAUAUUGCACAAUGGGCGCAAGCCUGAUGCAGCCAUGCCGCGUGUAUGAAGAAGGCCUUCGGGUUGUAAAGUACUUUCAGCGGGGAGGAAGGUGUUGUGGUUAAUAACCACAGCAAUUGACGUUACCCGCAGAAGAAGCACCGGCUAACUCCGUGCCAGCAGCCGCGGUAAUACGGAGGGUGCAAGCGUUAAUCGGAAUUACUGGGCGUAAAGCGCACGCAGGCGGUCUGUCAAGUCGGAUGUGAAAUCCCCGGGCUCAACCUGGGAACUGCAUUCGAAACUGGCAGGCUUGAGUCUUGUAGAGGGGGGUAGAAUUCCAGGUGUAGCGGUGAAAUGCGUAGAGAUCUGGAGGAAUACCGGUGGCGAAGGCGGCCCCCUGGACAAAGACUGACGCUCAGGUGCGAAAGCGUGGGGAGCAAACAGGAUUAGAUACCCUGGUAGUCCACGCCGUAAACGAUGUCUACUUGGAGGUUGUGCCCUUGAGGCGUGGCUUCCGGAGCUAACGCGUUAAGUAGACCGCCUGGGGAGUACGGCCGCAAGGUUAAAACUCAAAUGAAUUGACGGGGGCCCGCACAAGCGGUGGAGCAUGUGGUUUAAUUCGAUGCAACGCGAAGAACCUUACCUGGUCUUGACAUCCACAGAACUUUCCAGAGAUGGACUGGUGCCUUCGGGAACUGUGAGACAGGUGCUGCAUGGCUGUCGUCAGCUCGUGUUGUGAAAUGUUGGGUUAAGUCCCGCAACGAGCGCAACCCUUAUCCUUUGUUGCCAGCGAUUAGGUCGGGAACUCAAAGGAGACUGCCAGUGAUAAACUGGAGGAAGGUGGGGAUGACGUCAAGUCAUCAUGGCCCUUACGACCAGGGCUACACACGUGCUACAAUGGCGCAUACAAAGAGAAGCGACCUCGCGAGAGCAAGCGGACCUCAUAAAGUGCGUCGUAGUCCGGAUUGGAGUCUGCAACUCGACUCCAUGAAGUCGGAAUCGCUAGUAAUCGUGGAUCAGAAUGCCACGGUGAAUACGUUCCCGGGCCUUGUACACACCGCCCGUCACACCAUGGGAGUGGGUUGCAAAAGAAGUAGGUAGCUUAACCUUCGGGAGGGCGCUUACCACUUUGUGAUUCAUGACUGGGGUGAAGUCGUAACAAGGUAACCGUAGGGGAACCUGCGGUUGGAUCACCUCCUUA
This 1542-nucleotide ribosomal RNA is filed under the name Salmonella enterica subsp. enterica serovar Infantis. RNAcentral's name for it is "bacterial SSU rRNA". It matches the Rfam family "Bacterial small subunit ribosomal RNA". The record is from RNAcentral. Lineage: Bacteria; Pseudomonadati; Pseudomonadota; Gammaproteobacteria; Enterobacterales; Enterobacteriaceae. RNAcentral also lists the same sequence under 105 other names.